This is a non-coding RNA of Cyanistes caeruleus (blue tit), 475 nucleotides long. NCBI's taxonomy places the organism in Eukaryota, Metazoa, Chordata, Aves, Passeriformes, Paridae. The record is from RefSeq and is a predicted model, not a curated record.
UGUAUUGACAGCUGGUGUUCCUGAAUGGACCAGAAUAACCUAACUGACCAUGGACUGCAAAUACUUCUCUGGCCAGCAGUACACACGUCUUUAUGAAUACAAGGGAAAGGAGAAAGGUUGUACAUGUCUUGCCAGAAGAUGGGUAAAGAACUGUGUCUAUGUCAGUCAACUAAUCCCCUCCCCAUGGAAAGAUUUGGUGAGAGAUCAAACAGUGCUGUGAGCAUGAAUGGAACUGGAUUUUGGAGAAGCUGGAGUUUUAUGAUAAGUAACGCAUAUGUCUUGUGUAAAAGAAAUGGCAUGUGUUCGUUCUUAAUUAACAAAAAAAAGGUAAGUUUUCCCUCACAUUCUUCAGGAGAGAUCCCCAAUGCUGUGGCUUCUUUCUGGUCUUGCAGGUAUGUGACUGAUGGGAAUUUUGAGGUUUACAGGUGCUAAAAGAGGUUGUCUUUAAUUUGCUGAGUGUAGUAAAGCUGGGAAA